UUUGAAGCACGGGCAUUCGCUUUUCCCUCCGGGGGAGAGAGGAAAGUCCGGACACCACAGGGUAGGAUUCCCUUUGAAAGGAGGGGCGCAUUGUUGAAAAAGGGUGCGACGGAUAGUGUCACAGAAAAUAUACCGCCUCGAAAGAGGUAAGGUUGAAAUGGUGGGGUAAGAGCCCACCGCCCGAAGGGUAACCGACGGGGCAGGAUAAACCCAAUCCGGUGCAAGGCGAAUAGGGGAUCGGGCGACCCGUCCAUUGGUCCCGGGUUUAGCUGCAUCCCGCGCAAGCGGGAACGUCGAUCUCGGUCGGCGUAGAUGAAUGAAUGCCCUCCAUGGCUUCGGCAAUGGAGACAAAAUCCGGCUUAUAGUGCUUCAAAGAUC
RNAcentral lists this RNase P RNA (378 nucleotides) under Puniceicoccus vermicola. RNAcentral describes it as "Bacterial RNase P class A". It matches the Rfam family "Bacterial RNase P class A". From Rfam's summary of the family: Ribonuclease P (RNase P) is a ubiquitous endoribonuclease, found in archaea, bacteria and eukarya as well as chloroplasts and mitochondria. Its best characterised activity is the generation of mature 5'-ends of tRNAs by cleaving the 5'-leader elements of precursor-tRNAs. Cellular RNase Ps are ribonucleoproteins. The record is from Rfam by way of RNAcentral. Lineage: Bacteria; Pseudomonadati; Verrucomicrobiota; Opitutia; Puniceicoccales; Puniceicoccaceae.